GAAACAGACACCUCUUCUUUUGAUCUCCCAGCCAAUUGAGGCGAUGCUCCAUGACAAGUCCUGCGUGAGAUGAUAUGGUUACGAAACGGGUUCUUGCUUCGUAGGCCGCUUAGGUUAUGAUGCGGCAGUCAGAUUUGGUCUUCGGCCUUGACGUGAAGGUCAGAUGCUCGACAAAAUGUGGCUGAAGUAAGUGGGAAUCCAGCAAAGGAAUUGGAGUUGUGACUUGAAACAGCGGGACGAAAGAAUGCUGUGAAGCUGAGAAUUUCGGAACUAGUUGUGAUUCUUUUUAGUCUGUGUAGCAGAACAAUCGAAAUUAUAGCUGAGUCAUGGGCUGGACUUCGCAGCACUGUUCUUAAUGGCUUUGUUCAGGUAGUGUCGAUGAGUGGAUUUCUUCUCCAAAGUAGGCUGAGGAGAACCAUGAUUUCUGGGCAUUGAACAACUCAAGUAUGUUGUUGUUACCUUCCAGCACACUUGGAGCUCAUGGUUGGACCUGUUCCAUUUUGCAGCUUAGAAAAUGCUUCAGAAGGAAAGAAUAGUCAACUGGGAUUUGGAACUUGGAACUUGAAGGUGACUAUUUUGUCUUGCCUGUUACUUACUGGAUGGCUCCAGGUUCGUCUGUUCUUAUAGCCAUGUUUCUUUUAUUGCUUUAUCCUGUCAUGUUCUUAUAAACAAAUUAACUGGACUAUAUAGGAUCCACAUUAUCAUCCAAUCAGGAAGUGACAAAUCAGCAGGGAUAAUGCAUCUGUGCCCUGUGUCACAGUUGUGCCUGCUUGUUGAGUGCAAUUACUUGAUAUAUUACUUCAGAUUGGACAACUAGAUGGUGCAUUUUUUUCCAGAUAUGUUCAGUCUCUCAAUCAUAUUUAAUUGAGUCUGCACUAAUUUGUUCUUGAGUGCCUCAGCAAAUGAAUAGGACCAGAAUCAUUAUAUUCCCAGUCAAGUAUCUCUUUUCUUCCUUUUGUUUUUGUUUCUGUUUUUUUUUUGUUCUCAAAUGAAGACAUAAGUUAAGCAGUCUUUGUCUUCCAACACUCGACUUGAUGUAAAACCAACUAUAUUGUAUAAAUUUAGCUAAAACUAAUAAAUAAGUGUAGCCAAAAGGUGGAGUUGUAGUGCACAAUUAGUUCUUUUGUUCUUCCCUAAACUUUAUAUUCACUUAUAAAUGACAUGUCCCAAUACUCUUCUGUUUCUCUUUAGUUCUUGCCAAGCAUCCAGGAUAAUAUUAUGAUGAUCCUAGAAGUUGCUCAUUCCAUAUAUAAGACUAAGGGGAAAAACCCUUUAGUCAUCAUUAAAGUUGACUUAGAAAAGGUUUAUGAUAGAUUGUCGUGGAAUGUCGUUGUCAAUGUGUUGAGGGCUUUUAACUUUCCUGAGGUUUUUGUUUCCUGAAGUUAUGCUUGUGUGUCUACUCCUGAGCAUGCAUGUUUGAUUAAUGGAUCUCCUUCCCAUUUUUUCAAAUAUGCUCAAGGUAUUAGACAAGGUGAUCCACUUUCACCUUAUCUUUAUAUCUUAGUGGCACAAUUGUUGUCCCAUUAAUUGGACAAGGCUACUCGAGAUGACAAAAGCUUAUCCCUUUUGACUUCAAGCACAAGUAUAAGCUUCCUCACAUGAUGUAUGCCGAUGACAUAAUUCUGUGUUUUAGAGCAAACAAAAAGUCUUGCAGAACUAUUAUUGAAAAUUUUUGGGAUUAUGAAAUUUUUACGGGCCAGUGUUUGAACCGUACUAAAUCUGAAAUUUUCUUUCCAUGUGACAUUGAUCAAAAUACUAAAACUUCAAUUUGUAAUUUUUUUGAAUAUUAAAAAAGAUAAAUUUUAUUUUAAAUAUCUUGGCAUCAUGAUUUUUCCUCAUCGGCUACCGAUUUCACCUUUUGAUGAUCGUGUUCAUGCUAUUCAAAAAAGCUUAGUUCUUGGCAUGCAAAGUUUCUGCAUUACUCUUAUAAAAUCUGUCGUGUUGGCUUCUUUCACAUGCUUUCGGUGGAUGCCUGUGCAUAUUUUGAAAACCAUUAAUAGAAGUCUACAAACAUCCUUUGGCAUAAAGCCUCUUCUUUAAGGAAUCUGCAUUUGCUUUCUUGGAAACUGUUACUGCUCCCAAAGAUCAGGGCGAUCUUGGUAUCCAAAAUAUAAAUCUCACUUCUGUUGCUUUACGGGCUAAGAGAGUUUACAAUUACUUAAACAAAGCUGACAGUAUAUGGUGUAAAGUGAUUUAUGAUAAAUAUGGAUAAAUAUCUCAUUGGCAGAUUGGACAAUGCAAGUUGGUUCUAGCAUCUAUUUACUCGGGCGAUGUGGGAUUUGCGUUCUGCAUUUUCCUGUGUUAUUGGUGAUGGUCGUUUUGUUAAUGCCUUGGAUCAUAGUUGGAUUUUUUUUAGAUGCCGAUUUCUUUCAAGCCAACUUUUCUUAAUAUGGAAUGUUUGCAUGAAAUUUCUACAGUUUCAAGCAUGAUUUCGGAUCAAAUCUGGAAUGUUGACAAGUUGAACAUAUUUUUUGGUCCGCUGCUUUCUAAUCUGGUUUUAAAAUUGGAUUUGUCGAGUUUUUCCUCUGAUGACAAGUGGGUUCGGACACCUGAAUCCAAGGGGCAAUCAUGAACCAAGGCUGUAUAUGGCUUUUUAGCUUCGCGGUAUGCUACUGAUCAUAUUCAUCCUAUUGUGUGGUCUAAUCUUUGGAAAAUUCUUGUUUUCCCCAUACAAUCUUCUUCCGUUUGAAACUUUUGCAUGGUAGAUUGCCUACUUCUCAGUAUCUGGCUAAUCUAUGUAUUAGGAAGGUUGCGACCUGUUAUCUAUGUGGUUCGAAUGAUGACAGUUCACCUCAUCUUUUGUUUGGAUGUUCCUUCACACAAUCUAUCUUUUCAAUUAUUAAUUAAACAUGAGUUAGACUUUUCCUCUAGGUUUUAUGAUCGGUGGCAUACUGGUGCAUGGCUGAGGGAAGCAAAUGAUUUGGUCAAACAUACUUGUCGAAUAUUAUUCUGGUUAAGAUAUUGAGCAAUGAAACAGAUCCCCCUUGGAACUUAAAUCAUGUUGGUUCUAGCGUCUAUACAUGGGCUGUAUCUUUCACUUAUUUUCGACCCAAAUCUACCCCCAAUAUACUGUAAUUGGGUCUAGAUUUGAGAUCCAGAUCUCUUCUCUGCCGUGGAGGAUUCAGGUCAGCCCUUGUAUAUGGAAACAGGGACAGCUCCAUUUGAUCUUCCAGCCAAUCGAGACGGUGUGCUAUAAUGAGUUGUGCAUGAGAGACUGAUGCAGCCGCCAUGUUUUGGUCGGAGCAUCCACCAGGUGCUCGACAAAAUGUGCCUGUGGUGUGAGUUCUUGUUCGUUCGUGGAAGUUAACCAGGUUGAAAUAGUAUAUGAUUAAUGAAUGUUGGGAAUCCAGAACCGGCUGUGUUCGUGGCAAUUGGGCUUUACUGUUGCACCAAUUUUACUUGCUAAGUAGUUCUUA
This is a long non-coding RNA of Musa acuminata AAA Group (dessert banana), 3416 nucleotides long. RefSeq lists it as uncharacterized. The record is from RefSeq and is a predicted model, not a curated record. The transcript is spliced from 2 exons. NCBI's taxonomy places the organism in Eukaryota, Viridiplantae, Streptophyta, Magnoliopsida, Zingiberales, Musaceae.